RNAcentral lists this ribosomal RNA (460 nucleotides) under uncultured bacterium. RNAcentral's name for it is "partial 16S ribosomal RNA". It matches the Rfam family "Bacterial small subunit ribosomal RNA", at positions 338 to 795 of the family's 1533-position model. The record is from RNAcentral.
CCUACGGGCGGCAGCAGUGAGGAAUAUUGGUCAAUGGGCGCGAGCCUGAACCAGCCACGUAGCGUGAAGGAUGACUGCCCUCCGGGUUGUAAACUUCUUUUAUAAAGGAAUAAAGUGAGGCAAGUGUGCCUUUUUGUAUGGACUUUAUGAAUAAGGAUCGGCUAACUACGUGCCAGCAGACGCGGUAAUACGGAGGAUGCGAGCGUUAUCCGGAUUUAUUGGGUGUAAAGGGAGCGUAGAUGGGUUGUUAAGUCAGUUGUGAAAGUUUGCGGCUCAACCGUAAAAUUGCAAUUGAUACUGGCAGUCUUGAGUACAGUUGAGGUAGGCGGAAUUCGUGGUGUAGCGGUGAAAUGCUUAGAUAUCACGAAGAACUCCGAUUGCGAAGGCAGCUUACUAAACUGCCACUGACAUUGAUGCUCGAAAGUGUGGGUAUCAAACAGGAUUAGAUACCCUGGUAGUC